GCAGCGUCCCCAAGAGCAGCCACAACCCCAAGAAGGCACCCAAGAGCAGCACCAUUUCAAAGAGAGGAAACAUUCCCAAGAGUGCCCCCAUGAGCGGCGCCAUUCCAAAAAGUCGCUGCUUCCCCAAGAGCAGCCACAGUGCAAUUCCCAAAAGUCACAGCAUCCCCAGAGGCAGCCAUGGACCCAAGAGGGACCCGAAUAGGGGCGUCAUUCCAAAGAGCAGAAACAUUCCCAAGAGUGCCCCAAAGAGUGGCACAUUCCAAAGAGCAGCCACACUCACAAGAGCAUCCCCCAGAGCAGCUCCACUCCAAAAAUCCACAGCAGCCUCAGCCCCAAGAACACCCCCAUGGUCAGCCACAAUCCCAAGAGGGGCACCAUGCCAAAGAGUCGCAGCAUCACCAAGAGCAGCCACAGCCCCAAAAGGGCCCCGAAGAGCGGCGCCAUUCCAAAGAGAGGGCACAUUUCCAAGAGCAGCUCCAUUCCAAAGAGGGGCCACUCUCCCAAGAGCGGCGCUAUUCCAAAGAGAGGCCAUACUCCCAAGAGCAAGACCAAGAGCGGCACCAUUCCAAAAAGUCGCAGGAUCCCAAAGAGCAUCCACAGCCCCAAGAGGGCCCUCAAGUGCAGCGCCACUCCAAAGAGCAGCCACAUUCCCAAGAGUAUUCCCAAGAGCGGCGCCAUUCCAAAGAGCGGCCAGACUCCAAAGAGCAUCCCCAACAGAGGCGCCAUUCCAAAAAUCCACAGCAGCCACAGUCCCAAGAGCACGCCCACGAGUAGCCACACUCCCCGGAGUGGCACCAUUCAAAAAAGUCCCAGCAUCCCCAAGAGCAGCCACAGCCCCAAGAUAUUCCCCAAGAGCGGCACCAUUCCAAAGAGAGGCCACACUCCCAAGAGCACCCCCAAGAGAGGCGCCAUUCCGGAAACUCUCAAAAUCCCCAAGAGCAGCCAAAGCCGCAGGAGGGCCCCCACAAGAGGUGCCAUCACAAAGAGCAGCCACCCUCCAAAGAGCGCACCCAGAAGAGGCUCCAUUCUAA
Molecule: long non-coding RNA, 1031 nt
Filed under: Monodelphis domestica (gray short-tailed opossum)
Lineage: Eukaryota; Metazoa; Chordata; Mammalia; Didelphimorphia; Didelphidae
Description: lncRNA (ENSMODG00000048335.1)
Source: RNAcentral